UGGGGAAUUUUGGACAAUGGACGCAAGUCUGAUCCAGCCAUGCCGCGUGCGGGAAGAAGGCCUUCGGGUUGUAAACCGCUUUUGUCAGGGAAGAAACGAGUUUCUCUAAUACAGAGACUUAAUGACGGUACCUGAAGAAUAAGCACCGGCUAACUACGUGCCAGCAGCCGCGGUAAUACGUAGGGUGCAAGCGUUAAUCGGAAUUACUGGGCGUAAAGCGUGCGCAGGCGGUUAUGCAAGACAGAUGUGAAAUCCCCGGGCUCAACCUGGGAACUGCAUUUGUGACUGCAUAGCUAGAGUGCGGCAGAGGGGGAUGGAAUUCCGCGUGUAGCAGUGAAAUGCGUAGAUAUGCGGAGAAACACCGAUGGCGAAGACAAUCCCCUGGUACUGCACUGACGCUCAUGCACGAAAGCGUGAGGAGCAAACA
RNAcentral lists this ribosomal RNA (427 nucleotides) under uncultured bacterium. RNAcentral's name for it is "bacterial SSU rRNA". It matches the Rfam family "Bacterial small subunit ribosomal RNA", at positions 355 to 774 of the family's 1533-position model. The record is from RNAcentral.